CCCAGAUUAGAUUGUACCCUGGCGAAUAAGCAAGAGUUCUUUUUCAUUUUCAUCUUGCAAUUCAACUGGGUAUUUGGGUUCUUUUUCUAUUCACUCAUGUCAGAUAGAGACAUACAUGUUGUAAAUUAUUUUGUCAGAAUGAAAGCCUGGCAGAUUAAAUGCUUUCUUCUCUUCUUGCUUUACUUGAUAUCAAUCUCUUGUUCAUUUCUUGAUAAUAUGUUUGGUUAUUUUUGUUUUCAUUGCUUUUAGUGUCAGAGAUGGCUUUGGAUUCCCCGUUCUGUGUGCUGCUGUCUGGCUCCUGAACCCAGCUGUAGAGGUGUGUCAAUCCCAACUGGUGAAGUACUGAGAGGAAGCUACACAAAAGGCAGCAAAGUAUUAGUGAGUGGUGUCAUUGAGCAAACACGAAGUCGGGCUCAUCCAAGGAUGAGAUUUUGCCAGAGAAAGGACGAGCAGCAAGUCAGGGAGCUUAAGGUAAUUAUGGGAAAGUGACUAUCUACAAUUGCUUAGGUAGAAGGAGACAGAUUGGAUUUUUGUGUGUUUGGUAUUUGGGAUAAGAGGGA
RNAcentral lists this long non-coding RNA (560 nucleotides) under Pan troglodytes (chimpanzee). RNAcentral describes it as "lincRNA". The record is from RNAcentral. Lineage: Eukaryota; Metazoa; Chordata; Mammalia; Primates; Hominidae.